UGGGAGAAGACAGAAACAGCAGACCAAAAUCUUUCAGGCCAUUUGUCAUUGGUGCCCCAGAGAAGUACAGGGGGCUGAAUGGGGUCCAGAGAGCUAGGCUGUGGGGACUUCCCAGAGGUGUUUCCAGGAGUGAGGAGGCCAGGGUUUUGGUCGAACGAUGAAUCAGAAAGGGCUUUGACCAGGAAGGAAUUAGCUAGUGUGCCAGUGGGUGAGGCCCAGACAGGUCUGAAGGGCAUGGAGCGCCAGUCUGCUGAACCAGAUAGGCCAGUCUCAGGCUCCCUUCCCCCAGGUGAGCUCGCAAAGGUGGGGCCACGGCUGUCUCCUCCCUGUGCUGCCGCCAGUACCUAGCACAGGCUCUUCUCUGAAGGAUGGAAAAAUCGAUGCCCACAGAAGAGCUGGAGCAGGGAAGGUCCAGGCAGCAGCGCCGGGAAGACCAAAGACGGGGGAGUCGAAGCCCGGGUCCCGCCACCUCCUGCUGCAGACUCAGAAAUAGAACAUGCUCGACUACUUUUUUCACUCAAAGCCCUGCUGCCGACAUCCCUCUGUGCUGUCACUUGUUCAGAGCGCGCUUGUAUCCGAUGGCUGCACCAUGAGUCAUCUUGCUGGAUGGUAGAGACACUGCACGUGGCUUGGGGUCAAAAUCUCAGCCCCCUUGGCUGUGUGACCUCAGGCAGGUGACCUACACCCUCUGACCUCCUCUGUGUGGUGGGGCUACUGAUUGAUGCCUGCCUCACAGCCUGGUAAGAAAGUACAGCCUGGUGAGACUUUCAUGAGAAAAGAGGCAGAAAGCAUGCACCCCAAGCAGAGCACGUGGAAAGCAUUUCAUCAGCGACCCUCUAGGUUCAGCUGCUGGGGAGCCUCCACUUGAAGACUUUUCUAAAAGCCAUCGUGGCAGCUGCAGUGUCCCCAGGCUGCGCGCAUCGGGGCUCCCAGUUGCCAGCUGUAUGAACUCAGAUAUGAACUCAGACAGGAGCCUCCUGAGAGGCAACUUGUUCCGCAGCCGGAUCUGGCUCCACUGGAAGACCCGCUUGCUGUGAAGAGCACAGUCUGCCCGGUUGUCCUCCUGGCCUCUCCCUGCUCCCCGUUCUCUCCCACAGAUGCCAUCAGCCAGGGAGUGUGAACUGGACACCUAUAGCGUGCCAGGCACAGACGUGAGCCAUUCUGCCAACCCCUGAAGGCCUUGGGGAAACCCCAGACCAGGGUAGUGUGCUGUCCAACGCAUCAGCAAGAGCAGACGUAUUGGAGACCCUGGGCCCCAGGGAUGUGGCUCGAAUCCCAGCCACUCCCCUAACUAGCUGGGGAUCUUGGGCAUCUUGCCUCUCCCAGCCUCACCUUUCCCAUCUGUAAAAUAGACCAAGAACACUUUCACCAAGGACGGCUCAAGCAUGGAGUGUCCUAGGCCACAUUGGGCAUCUGGGCCGGCCUUUCCCAUGAUAUUUCAGCCCUUUCUUCCCAUCAGUUCCUAGAUGGGUCUAGGUUCUGAACACAUCGGAAGAAUCCUGGGACUCUGGGGCUUUGGAGUAUAAAGUCUAGAACCUUUGGGGAGAGCCACAGGGUUCUGGAGAAAUCCUUGCCACAGAGGAUGGGUCAGCAAGAGCGGGCCAGGGCUACGGGCCCACAGACAUGCCAGUCCAUGUGGGAGAGCGCUGGGACAAAGGAGGAGGAGCUUGUGUAUUUGUUGCAGAGGGCUGUGUGUAUGUUGGGGGUGCACAUGCUCGGUGUGGGGGACUAGGGGCAGAGUGGGGUGACCCUGUAGUUGUCCCCAGCCCUGGGAGAGCUCCACAGUCCAGGCCUGUCCCCACUCCUGGAGCAACCCCAGGACCCUCAUUUGGGAGGACUGUUGCAGCCAGCAGAUUAGAGCUGUGAGCUUCAAACAGAGCCGGCCUGGCAGUGGGGCUUAAAUUAUAAACACUGAAAUUAUAAAUAGCCACCUUCCUGGUGACUUCCCAGUCCUUGGGGGUGGGAGGGAAUGUUGCACCAGCCCUUUAACCAUCUUCCCAUCCAGCAACCUGCCAGCUUCAGAGAGGGAGGGGUCAGGCGAGAUGGAGCUGGUGCCUGUCAGAAGGGCUGGGCUCAAACAAGACUUCCCAUAUUAAAUGACGCGCUUGGUCUUAAGUUGCAAGGAGCAGAAGUGUGUGCCAAGAGACCCUUCCAGCUGGUGACCCUGAGGACACAGCCUGAGGAUUUCUCCAUGAUUAACAAACAUGCUUCCCUCUCCCCAGAUCUCUUGAGCUUAUAUGUCAGGCUCAAAAAUGGCUUAAGGGGAGGGGUUGGCAUCCAACUCCCAACCAUGCCAUCCAUCUGGCCUCCCUGGGACUCAGUUUCCCUACACUUGGAGUAGAGGGGAGGGGCAAUACAGUGCAAAGCCAGGACCCAUUCUGGGUCAGGCACUGAGCUGGGUGCUAUCAAGGGCAGGGCUCACAACUGCGAGUUCAGAUCCCAGCUCACAGAAAGUAUGCCCAAAAUGAAUUUUGGUUAGCUUGUUAAAUGGCUGGUGACCCCCACCCCCAGGUCCCUUCCGUGCCCACCAGGCACUUUCCCUCUCUGAGCCUCUCUUUUCCAUUCGUGAAUUAAAAGGAUGGACAAGGGUGACAGUGACUGGCCUGGAAGGUCAGCGCUGCAGGCAGGUGCUGCUGCAGCCCCAUUGCACUGGGAGACCCGAAACUGGCGAGGUGUGCAGGGACUUUCUUGCUCUGGUCUACCCUGCCAAGAAGGGGCCAAGAAGGGAUGAGAACUCAGCGGUCAUACACCACAACCUGAGCUAAUAGCCUUCCCUGCUCUGUGGACCUGACUGCCCCAUCUAUUAACUGAUUAGCGCACCCCCGGCGCUCCCAGUCUAGCCCUUCGCUAGGUCCGCGUGCCUCGGAAAUCCCACCCUAGGCGCUACCCAACCCGCAGCGGGGCAGAGGGCGGGUCCGGGGCGGGGCUCCGGCCUCUCCCCGCCCCCACCCCACCCCCGCCGCCCUGUAAAUCCGCAGCCCUCGCGGUUCCGCCAAUCGGCCGCCGGUUGCCGGGGAAACGACCCCUCGGAGCCUUCAAGGCCUCCACUCCCUACUUGUCCUCCUGCCCUGGGACUGGCGGGCGGGAGCCGAGGUCCCGGGAUAGGAGAGACCGGGGCCAGAGCCUGGGGCGAGACACCCCAGACCGAGUGACAGCGAGAGGGAGAACAGACACGCGCACAGGCCGGGGAGACGCGGGCUGCAGAGAGGACGGGGGUGCAAGAGGGGCCCGGAGAUGCGACAGCCCGCGCCCGCCUCCGCCCCAGUAUCAGGCCGAGACGCUGAGGGCCGAGCUGCCCAGAGGCUGCGGGGAGCGGGGGAGAGACGGGGCGGCGCAGAG
This is a long non-coding RNA of Manis pentadactyla (Chinese pangolin), 3339 nucleotides long. RefSeq lists it as uncharacterized. The transcript has 5 exons. Lineage: Eukaryota; Metazoa; Chordata; Mammalia; Pholidota; Manidae. The record is from RefSeq and is a predicted model, not a curated record.